This 60-nucleotide ribosomal RNA is filed under the name Bacteroidales bacterium. RNAcentral describes it as "partial 16S ribosomal RNA". Lineage: Bacteria; Pseudomonadati; Bacteroidota; Bacteroidia; Bacteroidales. The record is from RNAcentral.
UUUGUACAAUGAAGAGUUUGAUCCUGGCUCAGGAUGAACGCUAGCGGCAGGCUUAACACA